CCUACGGGAGGCUGUAGUGGGGAAUAUUGGACAAUGGGGGGAACCCUGAUCCAGCCAUGCCGCGUGUGUGAAGAAGGCCCUCGGGUUGUAAAGCACUUUCAGUGAGGAAGAACGCCUGGUGGUUAAUACCCAUCAGGAAAGACAUCACUCACAGAAGAAGCACCGGCUAACUCCGUGCCAGCAGCCGCGGUAAUACGGAGGGUGCGAGCGUUAAUCGGAAUUACUGGGCGUAAAGCGCGCGUAGGUGGCUUGAUAAGCCGGUUGUGAAAGCCCCGGGCUCAACCUGGGAACGGCAUCCGGAACUGUCAAGCUAGAGUGCAGGAGAGGAAGGUAGAAUUCCCGGUGUAGCGGGGAAAUGCGUAGAGAUCGGGAGGAAUACCAGUGGCGAAGGCGGCCUUCUGGACUGACACUGACACUGAGGUGCGAAAGCGUGGGUAGCAAACAGGAAUAGAUACCCCGGUAGUC
This 465-nucleotide ribosomal RNA is filed under the name Vreelandella stevensii. RNAcentral's name for it is "partial 16S ribosomal RNA". It matches the Rfam family "Bacterial small subunit ribosomal RNA", at positions 338 to 795 of the family's 1533-position model. The record is from RNAcentral. Lineage: Bacteria; Pseudomonadati; Pseudomonadota; Gammaproteobacteria; Oceanospirillales; Halomonadaceae.